This 253-nucleotide ribosomal RNA is filed under the name uncultured bacterium. Its description in RNAcentral is "partial 16S ribosomal RNA". It matches the Rfam family "Bacterial small subunit ribosomal RNA", at positions 524 to 776 of the family's 1533-position model. The record is from RNAcentral.
UACGAAGGGGGCUAGCGUUGCUCGGAAUUACUGGGCGUAAAGCGCACGUAGGCGGAUUGUUAAGUCGGGGGUGAAAGCCUGUGGCUCAACCACAGAAUUGCCUUCGAUACUGUAGAGCUUGAGACCGGAAGAGGUAAGUGGAACUGCGAGUGUAGAGGUGAAAUUCGUAGAUAUUCGCAAGAACACCAGUGGCGAAGGCGGCUUACUGGUCCGGUAUUGACGCUGAGGCGCGAAAGCCAGGGGAGCAAACGGG